UACGAAGGGGGCUAGCGUUGCUCGGAAUUACUGGGCGUAAAGGGCGCGUAGGCGGCGCGAUCAGUCAGGCGUGAAAUUCCUGGGCUCAACCUGGGGGCUGCGCUUGAUACGGUCGUGCUUGAGGAUGGAAGAGGCUCGUGGAAUUCCCAGUGUAGAGGUGAAAUUCGUAGAUAUUGGGAAGAACACCGGUGGCGAAGGCGGCGAGCUGGUCCAUUACUGACGCUGAGGCGCGACAGCGUGGGGAGCAAACAGG
Molecule: ribosomal RNA, 253 nt
Filed under: uncultured bacterium
Lineage: Bacteria
Description: partial 16S ribosomal RNA
Rfam family: Bacterial small subunit ribosomal RNA
Source: RNAcentral